Danio rerio (zebrafish) is the source of this 660-nucleotide non-coding RNA. Lineage: Eukaryota; Metazoa; Chordata; Actinopteri; Cypriniformes; Danionidae. The record is from Ensembl.
UGUGUUGGGGAACAGCAACAUUUUAUUUUGAGCUGGUUUCAUCACUGAGGAAGAAGAUUUUUGUGUUGGGUUUGUAAUGGGGGAUCCUGCCAUCCGACUUUUAAGGCUCUCUUUAGCGCUUCUCAGUCUCUGUCUACAUGGCCAGAUCAAAACUGUUUAUGGCAGUGAACCUUAUCCUGGGUCUUAUAAUGUUGGAUUUCCCAUGAUGGAUGGGCUUAGACCAUGGAAUCUGUAUGACCAAGGAGGUUUCACUGGGCCUCUAAUACCCAACAAUAUGACCUACACUUCAGUUAAAGGUGUAUAUGACAGUGCAAGCUAUAAUCCUCAAACUGGCUCUUCAGGUUUUGGCGUGGUGCCCAAUUUAAAUAAGCCUGAUUCUGUGUCCAAUACUAGAGGUCAACCCCAAGGCACUCCUGUAUCUUCAGUCAAUAGUGAAAGUCUUGUUUCUAGUUCUGUGUCCACUGAGGUCGAUACAACAGGAAGCAAUGAGUCUCUACCCACUUCAGCGUCACUGCAGACUACUCAAACCUGGUACCAGUCUUUGCCCUCACCCAGUGGUUCACAGUCAGCACAAGUCAGCUAUCAGUCUGUUCCCCAAUCCAGUGGUCUGCAGUCAACACCAACCUGGUUCCAGUCUAUGUCCCAGCCUAAUACUGCACA